Molecule: ribosomal RNA, 253 nt
Filed under: uncultured bacterium
Lineage: Bacteria
Description: partial 16S ribosomal RNA
Rfam family: Bacterial small subunit ribosomal RNA
Source: RNAcentral
UACGUAGGUGGCAAGCGUUGUCCGGAAUUAUUGGGCGUAAAGCGCGCGCAGGCGGUCUCUUAAGUCUGAUGUGGAAGCCCCCGGCUCAACCGGGGAGGGUCAUUGGAAACUGGGAGACUUGAGUGCAGAAGAGAAGAGUGGAAUUCCACGUGUAGCGGUGAAAUGCGUAGAGAUGUGGAGGAACACCAGUGGCGAAGGCGACUCUUUGGUCUGUAACUGACGCUGAGGCGCGAAAGCGUGGGGAGCAAACAGG